Molecule: ribosomal RNA, 35 nt
Filed under: uncultured Boletaceae
Lineage: Eukaryota; Fungi; Basidiomycota; Agaricomycetes; Boletales; Boletaceae
Description: partial 25S ribosomal RNA
Source: RNAcentral
NGACCUCAAAUCAGGUAGGACUACCCGCUGAACUU